AACGCUGGCGGCGUGCCUAAUACAUGCAAGUCGAGCGAACAGACGAGGAGCUUGCUCCUCUGACGUUAGCGGCGGACGGGUGAGUAACACGUGGAUAACCUACCUAUAAGACUGGGAUAACUUCGGGAAACCGGAGCUAAUACCGGAUAAUAUAUUGAACCGCAUGGUUCAAUAGUGAAAGACGGUUUUGCUGUCACUUAUAGAUGGAUCCGCGCCGCAUUAGCUAGUUGGUAAGGUAACGGCUUACCAAGGCAACGAUGCGUAGCCGACCUGAGAGGGUGAUCGGCCACACUGGAACUGAGACACGGUCCAGACUCCUACGGGAGGCAGCAGUAGGGAAUCUUCCGCAAUGGGCGAAAGCCUGACGGAGCAACGCCGCGUGAGUGAUGAAGGUCUUCGGAUCGUAAAACUCUGUUAUUAGGGAAGAACAAAUGUGUAAGUAACUAUGCACGUCUUGACGGUACCUAAUCAGAAAGCCACGGCUAACUACGUGCCAGCAGCCGCGGUAAUACGUAGGUGGCAAGCGUUAUCCGGAAUUAUUGGGCGUAAAGCGCGCGUAGGCGGUUUUUUAAGUCUGAUGUGAAAGCCCACGGCUCAACCGUGGAGGGUCAUUGGAAACUGGAAAACUUGAGUGCAGAAGAGGAAAGUGGAAUUCCAUGUGUAGCGGUGAAAUGCGCAGAGAUAUGGAGGAACACCAGUGGCGAAGGCGACUUUCUGGUCUGUAACUGACGCUGAUGUGCGAAAGCGUGGGGAUCAAACAGGAUUAGAUACCCUGGUAGUCCACGCCGUAAACGAUGAGUGCUAAGUGUUAGGGGGUUUCCGCCCCUUAGUGCUGCAGCUAACGCAUUAAGCACUCCGCCUGGGGAGUACGACCGCAAGGUUGAAACUCAAAGGAAUUGACGGGGACCCGCACAAGC
This 917-nucleotide ribosomal RNA is filed under the name Staphylococcus epidermidis. RNAcentral's name for it is "bacterial SSU rRNA". It matches the Rfam family "Bacterial small subunit ribosomal RNA", at positions 32 to 930 of the family's 1533-position model. The record is from RNAcentral. Lineage: Bacteria; Bacillati; Bacillota; Bacilli; Caryophanales; Staphylococcaceae.